This 107-nucleotide small nuclear RNA is filed under the name Chinchilla lanigera (long-tailed chinchilla). The record is from RNAcentral. Lineage: Eukaryota; Metazoa; Chordata; Mammalia; Rodentia; Chinchillidae.
GUGCUCACUUUGGCAGCACGUAUGCUCAAAUUGCAAAGAUACAGAGAAGAUAAGCAUGGCCCCUGUGCAAGGAUGACACAUAAAUUUAUAAAGCAUUCCAUGUUUUU